GUGAAUCAUCGAAUUUUUGAACGCAAAUUGCGCUUCCUGGUAUCCCGGGAAGUAUGCCUGUUUGAGGGUCAGUAUUAACAAAAAAAUCGGUUUGGUUGCAAAUUGUGACGUUUCCGGAGUUUGGGCUAUCCUAACUUUUUUGGUUAAGGGGCUUAAAAUUGACCUUUUUUGCGCAUUUUUAGACGUACAUAAAUUUUUUUUUUUAUCGGUUUUUCUUUAUUGCAAAAUUUUUUUAAAAUGGGACAA
RNAcentral lists this unclassified non-coding RNA (246 nucleotides) under Glomeraceae sp. RNAcentral describes it as "partial contains 5.8S ribosomal RNA and internal transcribed spacer 2". The stretch from base 1 to 71 matches the Rfam family "5.8S ribosomal RNA", at positions 84 to 154 of the family's 154-position model. Lineage: Eukaryota; Fungi; Glomeromycota; Glomeromycetes; Glomerales; Glomeraceae. The record is from RNAcentral.